Molecule: long non-coding RNA, 812 nt
Filed under: Heterocephalus glaber (naked mole-rat)
Lineage: Eukaryota; Metazoa; Chordata; Mammalia; Rodentia; Bathyergidae
Description: lncRNA (ENSHGLG00000033754.1)
Source: RNAcentral
UCAUAUAAAGAUACAAGAAGAAGAUGGCUGUCUGCAAAUCAGGAAGACUGACCUCACCAGACAUUGGAUCUGCUGGUUGUACCUGGAUCUUGAACUUCCCAACCUUCAUAUAUGUGGAGCCUAUGUCAUUUGGUGUGGCCCUACUCAAGUGCUACAUCACUCAGAGGACUUCAACACCCCAGCAUUCAAAUGUAAUGUUGGAGAGGUCCUUGGCCGGCUGGACCCCACUUUGGCCGACUCGUCACACCCACCUGCAACCAGCGAGAUGGUGAGGACCACUCAGCAAGCCCACCAGCCACCAGCUUAGUGCUUGGGCUCCUGGAAACCACCCCCCACCCCUGGCCUCCUGGUUGUGUCGCUACCUGGUUCCACACUACAGAGGCACAGGGGGCAUAAGGGCCAUUGUCCUGAGCUGCAGAAGUGAACAACAGAUAGAGGGCCUCUCUCAGGCUCCUUCAUGAAAACUAAAGCUGACUGUAAAAGUGAAGAGAAUCUUGGAAAUAAAGGCACACCAGACCACCGUACUUGAAUUUGUACAUCUCUAGAACAAUACUUAACAGAACUCAGACUUUCAGCCUCCAUUCACAGCCUCUAAAAUCUCUGCUGGAAAUUUUUUUGAUGCUUUUAUCUAGUGACCUGAUCCAAACUAGACUUUCUUCCUUCAAAGAUCCAGAUUGUGCCAGUGGAGGUGAAGCUGAGGAUGCAACCCAGGGAAGAAGGUACAUAAAGGCUGAAUUUGCUCAAAGGGAAUUCAUCACCUUGGGACCACCUGAUUAGUCCUGCCAUUCUGAUGAUCAUACUGACAACCUGAU